Molecule: ribosomal RNA, 483 nt
Filed under: uncultured bacterium
Lineage: Bacteria
Description: partial 16S ribosomal RNA
Rfam family: Bacterial small subunit ribosomal RNA
Source: RNAcentral
AUUGAACGCUGGCGGCAUGCUUUACACAUGCAAGUCGAACGGCAGCGCGGGCUUCGGCCUGGCGGCGAGUGGCGAACGGGUGAGUAAUGCAUCGGAACGUGCCCAGUAGUGGGGGAUAGCCCGGCGAAAGCCGGAUUAAUACCGCAUACGACCUGAGAGUGAAAGCGGGGGACCGAAAGGCCUCGCGCUAUUGGAGCGGCCGAUGUCGGAUUAGCUAGUUGGUGGGGUAAAGGCUUACCAAGGCGACGAUCCGUAGCUGGUCUGAGAGGACGACCAGCCACACUGGGACUGAGACACGGCCCAGACUCCUACGGGAGGCAGCAGUGGGGAAUUUUGGACAAUGGGGGCAACCCUGAUCCAGCCAUGCCGCGUGCGGGAAGAAGGCCUUCGGGUUGUAAACCGCUUUUGUUCGGGAAGAAAUCCUCUGGGCUAAUACCCCGGGGGGAUGAGGUACCGGAAGAAUAAGCACCGGCUAACUACGUG